CACACUGUGGGACCCCCAGUGUUGGCAAAGUUCGGGAAGGGGUUAAAUAAAUGCAGCUUCAGGGAUUGAUUUUGACACAGAUCAACCUGUGUGAGGGCAGGAAAGUAGGCCUUGCAAGGUCGGUUCCGUUCUUGGGCUCCUGGUGCUAUGACAUCACAGACAGACUGUCCCUGCCCAGUUCUGGGGUUGCUGAGCUGAGAGCACAACCAGCUCCAGCUGGCGCCAGCAGAAGAAACAUCUUCCCCCAAGAGGAAACACUGGUUAGCUGGCUCUGAGCAAAACAAACAAAAAUGGAUUCAGGGAACCAUCCUGACACCCCAAAUUCAACCAGGUGUGCUGGGAAGAAGACAUGCCGACUGCAGCCUACACAUGGCGCGACUCAAGUGCCUACACCCAGACCAGGCUGUCCAAACUGCUCAGGAGAGCAGGCCCAGACUGCCCCGGCCUGCUCAGGGGUGCCAGGCCAACGGACCUGCCAUGGCGGGGCCUCUUGCCAGAACCUCCAGCAGCAGCAGAAGUAAAUCCACAGCUGAGAAACAUCAACGUAACGAUUUCCUGCUGGCUCUGUGAACAUUAAAAAUAUCUUUACCUGCAUUGUUCAGUGUUUUAGAUUUAUUCACAUAUCCAUUCUCCUGUUUAGACAUCCAGCUGAAGGGAAUAAUUCAAAGCUGGUUUAUUUUGGUGUAGCUCCGUUUCUCCCAUUUCUGGUUUCAGUUUAGGGGGGGUGGUUUGUUUAUUUUCCCAUUAACCAGGCGUAAAAUAAACAAAAGUAGCACCAGCUCCA
This 784-nucleotide long non-coding RNA is filed under the name Junco hyemalis (dark-eyed junco). RNAcentral describes it as "lncRNA (ENSJHYG00000015954.1)". Lineage: Eukaryota; Metazoa; Chordata; Aves; Passeriformes; Passerellidae. The record is from RNAcentral.